UGAAGUGUUUGAGUUCUUGUU
This 21-nucleotide small nuclear RNA is filed under the name Arabidopsis thaliana (thale cress). RNAcentral's name for it is "snRNA_14733". Lineage: Eukaryota; Viridiplantae; Streptophyta; Magnoliopsida; Brassicales; Brassicaceae. The record is from RNAcentral.